This 497-nucleotide ribosomal RNA is filed under the name uncultured bacterium. Its description in RNAcentral is "partial 16S ribosomal RNA". It matches the Rfam family "Bacterial small subunit ribosomal RNA", at positions 28 to 507 of the family's 1533-position model. The record is from RNAcentral.
GAUGAACGCUGGCGGCGUGCCUAAUACAUGCGAGUCGAGCGAACGGACGAGAAGCUUGCUUCUCUGAUGUUAGCGGCGGACGGGUGAGUAACACGUGGAUAACCUACCUAUAAGACUGGGAUAACUUCGGGAAACCGGAGCUAAUACCGGAUGAUAUUUUGAACCGCAUGGUUCAAAAGUGAAAGACGGUCUUGCUGUCACUUAUAGAUGGAUCCGCGCUGCAUUAGCUAGUUGGUAAGGUAACGGCUUACCAAGGCAACGAUGCAUAGCCGACCUGAGAGGGUGUUCGGCCACACUGGAACUGAGACACGGUCCAGACUCCUACGGGAGGCAGCAGUAGGGAAUCUUCCGCAAUGGGCGAAAGCCUGACGGAGCAACGCCGCGUGAGUGAUGAAGGUCUUCGGAUCGUAAAACUCUGUUAUUAGGGAAGAACAUAUGUGUAAGUAACUGUGCACAUCUUGACGGUACCUAAUCAGAAAGCCACGGCUAACUACGUG